UCACUUCCCGCGAAGGAAUGGUGCAAGUGCCUCAGGUCAAACACAUGCACGAGUCUUUGCAAGAUUAGGUCUUGUAGUUUGCCUUCCUGAAUGUGUAAAUAUAGCUGAGGGAAACCUUCGCUCUGGUGGCAACUCAGAAUAGUUUCCAGCCUAUCUUAGAAAGCAAUCAAAUAAAAACCAGAAAGAAUCAGACACACAAAACCCUCGGAUAGAUGUAAACGAUCUUUCUUAAGAAGGGAUGUAUUUAAAACAAAUCAGGGAGCAAUACCAGGAGCCCUAUGGAGAUGCUGGACAUCUGAAAUCUCACACUGGAAGGUGUUACAUGAAUGAGGGGAAUUCAGGUGGGUCAGCGGGUAAAGACCAGCUGUGGGUGAUGCUGUUUUAAAAAGGGAGGGAGAAUAAAUGUUUUACACUGGGCUGUAGGGCCAGGGCUGUACUGUGCCUGGCAGGGAGCUGCUUAUUGCUUGCUGCUGGUUAUGCGAUCCCCAUCCAGAACAGCUCACAUCUGCAAGCAGGGCACGUGGGCUGAGGAGCGCUCAGAACCGGCAUCUGCAAGAGCUCAUCUCCCUCUGCCCUGCACCGCUGAUAUCAGAGGCAUGGAGGGGCUCGGGGAAGAGGACUGCAAGCAAGCUAGCGGCAAGCCGUGCCUUCUGCAUGCCCCUGAGUAUUGAGGCUGAAGGAGCUGGAUCUCCAAACAGAGGCACGGUUCCCAGUUGGGCUGGCAUUCCCAUUUCUCAGGGGUGUUGCUGGGAUGUUAAUGGGGAUGCAGGAGAGGCUGGCUGGGAGAAACCCAGGUGGCUGCUUUUCCCAGGCUCCCCGGCAGUGAUGUAUCUGCCCAGUUCCAGCCCUUCUGCUCAGUGUCCCAUCCCACUGUGGUGGCAUGCCAGCAAGACGAUCGCCAGCAAAGUGUUAUCGCCAACAGGAGAUGGUUUUCCCUGCUUGAGCUGCCCAAAUGCUUGGCAUCACCCGGUUCAGGCAGCCCGAGCACCCAGUGGUGAUCACCUACGGAGGGGGCCAGUUGUUUUCACCCAGAGAUACAUACACUGAUGGGAGUCAGCAGGAACCAACAUUUAAAUCACAGCCUGAACCUCAAAGGUAGGGCUGAGGAUGCCUGCAUGAGGGAGCUGAACCGCAGGAGAAGGGGAUGCAAGGUACUGCUGUUAUUGCUAGAAACAUGGUGUGGCUGCCAGGGCUGCGGCUUUGAUCUUGGACUUAGGGACCAGGAUCUCUUUUCUGAGCCACCCUUCCUUGCUGUGGUGGCAUGGGAUGAUGUGAUGAGGAGAGGAUGGCUGGCUUUGCAGGGCAGUAAGAGUGGGCAGGGGAUGCCCCAUGGACAUGCUGAGUCCUUUCUUCCCGUCCAUGCUGAGAGCAAGGGUUCCCCUCCACCCUGUGCCCGCCUCACCUCCAACACACUACAGUUUUGAGGUGAUUUUUCCCCUCUAAUACACAACCCAGUGCCUGCCUGCACCUCCUAGAUGUCUUACUGCCAGUCCAUAGCUCUGCUCUGGGGCAUCCCCCCUGUGGUUUUUUUUUUUUUUUUUCCAGGCCUUGUUCUCAAAGAUAAUCCCUGUUUUUUCCAAAGCAGGCUGUUUCCUCUAAUAGCAAGCACCCAGCAGCCAGCAGCUGAAGGCUCAGUUGCUUUGCCUUGUGCACAAAACUUUCCACUUAUGCUUUUUGUCUUUCCAGCCGAGGGAAGCGCCUGCCUUCCCCAGCCUCUCGCCUGCAGAAGCGUGCGGGAAACGUCUGCCCUCCUGUGUUCAAAGUCCCCUCCAAAGAGAAGCCGAGGGUGCACUGACCUCACGGGAUAAAUAUUUUCCAUGACAUCUCCUUCCCAACGUCUCCUUUCGGGCUCUGUACCUAUAGCUGACCCAGCUCCGGGUUUGCAGCCAGCCUGCCCGAGCUCGGCGGGUGCCGGGAACAGGGCUGGGUUCUGCCUUCUCCUUAUUCCCUACAUGGCCCCACGCAACGUCCCUGCCUGAAGGUUUCAGUGACCUCUCUGGAACCCCUUCCAGGGACUCCUCUGGCCAACGAGGCAGCUCGUGGGCCAGUGCUGCUCGCCGUAGACACUGAAGCCUGCUGGCUUGCUGUGACGGUUUCUCCAACACUCCCCCUCGCCCACUCGCAGCUAUAACACGGCUGUGGUUAUGGGCUGCUGCCAAGGCAGCUGGGAUGCUGGAGGCAGCAGCCUUAGAGCAGGCGCGAAGCAUCCGUGGGCCAGAGGUGGGAUGCAGGGAGGUUGUUUUGAAGUGGGAGCAACUUGUCACCAGGCAAAGCAGGGGGACACUUACUGACUCUGUAUCCUCGCCGCUCACCCAGUUGAGUGUUGGAUGUUCCAACAGGUAUUGUCCACCUCCAGCCUCUUACUGCUCUUGCUGCACAGCUUUCCCUUACAGGCUCCUUUUCCUAACAGCACUUUUCUCAAGGGGACCAUCACAUCUGGCGCUGAUCCCUGGUGCGUCUUGGCAGCUGGAUUUACAGCACAGGUACUGCAGAGCCCAGGGCUCUUCGUGGGUGAGGUCUCUUUUAUUUGCAGCCACCAAAAAGUCGGUGGCUUUCUGUUGGCUUGCUAAGAGGAGAUGCUGCGGUCAUUCUCCUGCCAGGGCUUUUCAAACCACGUGCCGAUUCCCAUGCCCAGUGUGGUGUCCUGAGGGGGACCAGGGAUUUCAUGCUGCUGUGCAUAGAACUGGAUCCCUUAGAAUUGGAUCCCUACCCCCCCUGUCUUGUGGAACAGGGAGAAAACACUAUAUCCUGCCAGAAAGAGUGCCAAGUGUGUGGCACACACCAGGAGGUGUCAAAAAAUGCUCAUGUCAGUCCCACAGGCAGCUCUGUGCCUUCUGUGCUGGCCGUGUAGGGAUUACCCAAGCAAUUUGCUGUGGGCAUUUCAGAGCCCCUUAUUUCUAGGGUAGGGUUUCAACUGCAAUAAAAGGGCCUCUGCAAGUGAGGCAAGAACAGCUACACCUGCCCUUCUGGUAGCUCCUCCCCAGUUUGUAUAAAAGAUACCAGUGUUUCCCAGUUCUUUGGCAUGGGAGAAGUGCCAUUCUUAUCUAUAGGGUUAUUAGUGCUGGAAAGAAAAUGAAUAUUAAACAUCUCUUACCCUG
Falco peregrinus (peregrine falcon) is the source of this 3098-nucleotide long non-coding RNA. RefSeq lists it as uncharacterized. The transcript has 2 exons. Lineage: Eukaryota; Metazoa; Chordata; Aves; Falconiformes; Falconidae. The record is from RefSeq and is a predicted model, not a curated record.